Molecule: non-coding RNA, 444 nt
Organism: Perognathus longimembris pacificus (Pacific pocket mouse)
Lineage: Eukaryota; Metazoa; Chordata; Mammalia; Rodentia; Heteromyidae
Source: the annotation of a RefSeq genome assembly
AGCUGGAUUCCACCCAGUGAUUGACACAGACCACUCACCAUGGAGCUGGGGCUGUGCUGGGUUUUCCUUGCUGCUCUUUUAAAAGGUGUCCAGUGUGAGGUGCAGCUGGUGGAGUCUGGGGGAGGCUUGGUGCAGCCUGGAGGGUCCCUGAGACUCUCCUGUGCAGCCUCCGGAUUCACCUUCAGUGAUUACUACAUGAGCUGGAUCAGCCAGGCUCCAGGGAAGAGGCCUGAGUGGCUCUCAUCCAUCAGUGAUGGUGGUGUUAGCACAUACUACGCAGACUCCGUGAAGGGCCGCUUCACCAUCUCCAGAGACAACAGCAAGAACACACUUCACCUGCAGAUGAACAGCCUGAGAGAGGAGGACACGGCCCUCUAUUACUGUGCCAGAGACACACUACUACAGAUUUUUGAAUAUUAUAAAGCACCUUGUUUACAUGUAUAG